AGGCAUUCAGGCAGCGAGAGCAGAGCAGCGUAGAGCAGCACAGCUGAGCUCGUGAGGCAGGAGACUCAGCCCGAGGAAAUCGCAGAUAAGUUUUUAAUUAAAAAGAUUGAGCAGUAAAAAGAAUUAGAACUCUAAACUUAAGCUAAUAGAGUAGCUUAUCGAAAUAUUACUUAGUCUUAAUAAUCUAAGAAGAUCUUAAGAGAUAACAUGAAGGCUUAUUUAAACAGUUUGAAAAAGGAAAUGAGGAGAAAAGUAUUUGUACUGUAUAAUGGAGGCUGACCAGAGCAGUUUAGGAGAUUGUAAAGGGAGGUUUUGUGAAGUUCUAAAAGGUUCUAGUUUGAAGGUCGGCCUUGUAGAUUAAAACGAAGGUUACCUAAAUAGAAUCUAAGUGGCAUUUAAAACAGUAAAGUUGUAGAGAAUAGUUUGAAAAUGAGGCGGAUUUCUGAGUUCGAGGCCAGCCUGGUCUACAGAGUGAGUUCCAGGACAGCCAGGGCUACACAGAGAAACCCUGUCUUGAAAAAACAAAAAGGUUAGGCUAGUAUUUGGAGAAAGAAGAUUAGAAAAUGGAAGUGAAAGACGAAGAAGACAUACAGGAAGGUGAAGAAAAAGCUGUUAGAGAAGAUAGGAAAAUAGAAGACAAAGCAUCUUUAGAAGACAGAAAAGGUACUUAAAGGCACAGGUAGUAGGAAGCCGAAGAAUAGAAGAUAGAAAGAAGCAA
Molecule: long non-coding RNA, 718 nt
Filed under: Mus musculus (house mouse)
Lineage: Eukaryota; Metazoa; Chordata; Mammalia; Rodentia; Muridae
Description: metastasis associated lung adenocarcinoma transcript 1 (non-coding RNA)
Source: RNAcentral